UUGAGCGGUAGAGGCGCGAUAUCUGAUGAGUAGCGUUUAUUGGGGUGAUACCAAUGAAUAGACGUGAAAGCUCUGUCGCCGAAGUAAACCAGGCAUAUCAACGCCGGCUUGCUGGGGUUGCUUUCGAAUAGGAGCAACACUGCCAUAGUCUAUACUCACUAAAGUGGUGAGGUAGGUAUUACUAUGGAGCGCUACUGUAGGG
RNAcentral lists this non-coding RNA (202 nucleotides) under Vibrio sp. RNAcentral describes it as "Lysine sequence". It matches the Rfam family "Lysine riboswitch aptamer". From Rfam's summary of the family: Riboswitches are metabolite binding domains within certain messenger RNAs that serve as precision sensors for their corresponding targets. Allosteric rearrangement of mRNA structure is mediated by ligand binding, and this results in modulation of gene expression. The record is from RNAcentral. Lineage: Bacteria; Pseudomonadati; Pseudomonadota; Gammaproteobacteria; Vibrionales; Vibrionaceae.